This is a non-coding RNA of Glycine max (soybean), 80 nucleotides long. The record is from Rfam. NCBI's taxonomy places the organism in Eukaryota, Viridiplantae, Streptophyta, Magnoliopsida, Fabales, Fabaceae.
GUCUUGGUGGUGAAAUGGUAGACAUGGAGACUCAAAAUCUCGUGUUAAAGAACAUGGAGGUUCGAGUCUUUUUCAAAACA